GUGCUCGUUUUGGCAGCACAUAUACUAAAAUUGGAACGAUACAAAGAAGAUUAGCAUGGCCCCUGCUCAAGGAUGACACACAAAGUCGUGAAGCAUUCUAUAAAAUU
RNAcentral lists this small nuclear RNA (107 nucleotides) under Callithrix jacchus (white-tufted-ear marmoset). Lineage: Eukaryota; Metazoa; Chordata; Mammalia; Primates; Cebidae. The record is from RNAcentral.